Triticum aestivum (bread wheat) is the source of this 126-nucleotide non-coding RNA. Lineage: Eukaryota; Viridiplantae; Streptophyta; Magnoliopsida; Poales; Poaceae. The record is from Rfam.
UAAUUACUCCCUCAGUCUGAAAAAGCUUGUUCCAAGCUUGUCUUUCAAAUGGAUGUAUCUAGCACUAAAUUGAUGUUAGAUACAUCCAUUUGAGGGACAAGGUUUUUUAGACGGAGGAAGUAUAUA